This 607-nucleotide ribosomal RNA is filed under the name uncultured archaeon. RNAcentral's name for it is "bacterial SSU rRNA". It matches the Rfam family "Archaeal small subunit ribosomal RNA", at positions 83 to 695 of the family's 1478-position model. The record is from RNAcentral.
CGGCUCAGUAACACGUCGAUAACCUGCCUUUAGGUUGGGAAUAACCAUAGGAAACUGUGGCUAAUACCUGAUAGAAGAUUAGUGCUGGAAUGCUUUUUCUUUCAAAGCUUCGGCGCCUAAAGAUGGGUCGGCGGCUGAUUAGGCUGUUGGUGAGGUAAUGGCUCACCAAACCUGUGAUCAGUAGGGGGGAUGAAAGUCCUAGCCCCGAGAAGGGCCCUGAGAUACUGGCCCUAGCCCUAAGGGAUGCAGCAGUCAGGAAUACUUUACAAUGCACGCAAGUGUGAUAAGGGGAUUCCAAGUGCUUUGCUAAUGGCAAAGCUUUUGUCAAGUCCAAGAAGCUUGACGAAUAAGUGGUGGGUAAUACCGGUGCCAGCCGCCGCGGUAAUACCGGAGCCACAAGUGGUGGUCACUAUUAUUGGGUCUAAAGCGUUCGUAGCCGGCUUAUUAAGUUUCUUGUAAAAUUGUUAGAUUUAAUCUAACACCUGGCAAGAAAUACUGGUAGGCUUGAGACCGGGAGAAGACAGAGGUAUUUCAGGGGGAGCGGUAAAAUGUUAUAAUCCUUGAAGGACCACCAAUGGCGAAGGCAUCUGUCUAGAACGGGUCUGAC